GACGAACGCUGGCGGCGUGCCUAAUACAUGCAAGUAGAACGCUGAAGGAGGAGUUUGCUCUUCUGGAUGAGUUGCGAACGGGUGAGUAACGCGUAGGUAACCUGCCUGGUAGCGGGGGAUAACUAUUGGAAACGAUAGCUAAUACCGCAUAACAGUAGAUGUUGCAUGACAUUUGCUUAAAAGGUGCAAUUGCACCACUACCAGAUGGACCUGCGUUGUAUUGGCUAGUUGGUGGGGUAACGGCUCACCAAGGCGACGAUACAUAGCCGACCUGAGAGGGUGAUCAGCCACACUGGGACUGAGACACGGCCCAGACGCCUACGGGAAGCAGCAGUAGGGAAACUUCGGCAAGGGACGGAAGUCUGACCGAGCAACGCCGCGGGAGUGAAGAAGGUUUUCGGGUCGUAAAGCUCUGUUGUAAGGGAAGAACGAGUGUGAGGGUGGAAAGUUCACACUGUGACGGUAUCUUACCAAAAAGGGACGGCUAACUACGUG
Molecule: ribosomal RNA, 495 nt
Filed under: uncultured bacterium
Lineage: Bacteria
Description: partial 16S ribosomal RNA
Rfam family: Bacterial small subunit ribosomal RNA
Source: RNAcentral